Long non-coding RNA from Hypanus sabinus (Atlantic stingray), 3703 nucleotides. RefSeq lists it as uncharacterized. NCBI's taxonomy places the organism in Eukaryota, Metazoa, Chordata, Chondrichthyes, Myliobatiformes, Dasyatidae. The record is from RefSeq and is a predicted model, not a curated record. The transcript is spliced from 2 exons.
UGUUGUGUGUUCGCUACCUGGCAACUGUACACACAGCAAACGAGGGGCUAGUCUGCAGAGUUUUUUAAAGAGCAGUUCCAGCUCACUUUAAUAUAAAUACACGGAAAACUGCAGUACCUGAGCUGUAGCGGCGUUUUGCGUGUGUAACAUAGAAGAAACAUCAAGCACCCCGCAUCUCUCAAUGAUCCUUUAGUCUCAGUAUCUGAAGGUGACCUUCAAGAGGGCGAAUCUGAGGAAAGUAUCUGGUCCAGACAGAGUACCUGGCCAAGCAGUGGAGACCUGUGCUGACCAACUAGCUGGUGUGUAUUUCAACCUCUCACUUCAGCAGUGUGUAGUACCCACCUGCUUCAAGCAGUCUCCAAUCAUAUGAGUGCCCAAGAAGGCGUGGUAACCUGCCUAAGGCACCUACAUUCACAUAGAUGACAUGUUUUGAGAGGUUGAAACAUUGAAUAUCAGCUCCUAUCUGAGUGGUGACUUGGAUCUGCUCCAAUUUGUCUACAAGAGCAACAGGUCCAAAGCAGAUGCCAUCUCAUUGGUUCUUCACACAACCAUGGAACAUCUGGACAGCGAAGAUGCAUACCUCAGGAUGCUCAUUGAUUACAGCUCAGCAUUUAGUACUAUCAAACCCUCAAAACUAAUCAGUAAGCUCCAAGACCAGAGCCUCAAUACCCCCCAGUGCAACUGAAACCUGGAUUUCUUCAUUUGCAAACACCAGUCAGUUCAUAUUAGCAAAAUAUUCUCCUCUACACUCUCCAUCUGUACAGGUGCACCACAGGGCUGUGUGCUUAGCCCCCUGCUCAACUCGCUUUACACCUAUGAGUGUGUGGCUAAGUGCAACUCUAACACCAUAUUCAAGUUUGCUGAUGACACCACUGUUUCGGGCCGUAUCAAAGGUGGUGAUGAAUCAGCAUACAGGAGGGAGAUUGAAAACUUGGCUGAGUGGUGUCAUGGGAACAACCUCUCACUCAAUGUCAGCAAGACCUGGAAACUGAUUGUAGACUUCAGAGGAGUUAAUCCAUCAGCCAGUCCUCAUCAGAAGGUUGGUAACUUUAAAUGCCUGGGCAUCACUAUCUCAGAGAACUUGUUCUGGACCCCACAUAUAAGGGUAAGUGUAAAGCACAACAGCACCUCUGCUUUCUUAGGAGUCUGUCGAUAUCUGGCAUGUCAUCAAAAACAUCAAACUUCUAUAGAUGUGUGGUGGAAAGUGAAUUGACUGGCUGCAUUGUGGCCUGGUAUGGGAACACCAAUGCCUUUGAACAGAAAACCCUACAAAAGGCAGUGGAUUCAGCCCAGUACAUCACGGGUGAAGCCCUCACAGCCAUUGAACACACCUACAUGAAACGCUGUCGUAAGAAAGCAACAUCCAUCAUUGGGGAUCCUCACCACCCAGGCCAUGCUCUUUUCUCGCUGCUGCCAUCAGAUGCCCCAGGACUCUCACCACCGGGCUCAGGAACAGUUACUACCCCUCAACCAUCGAACAGGCUCUUGAACAAAAGAGGAUAUUGAGAUGUUCCCACAACCAAUGAUCUCACUUUAAGGGCUCUUGUUAUUUCAUGCUCUCAUUAUUUAUUGCUAUGUAUUUAUAUCUGCAUUUGCAUAGUUUGUGCCUUCUAUGCUGUUGCUUUUUCGUUAACACUGUUUAUGGUUACUGUUGAUAGAUCUGCUGAGUAUGCCCACAGGAAAAAGAAUCUCAGGGUUGUACGUGUUGACAUAUAUGUAUUCUGAUUAUAAAUUCUACUUUGAAAUUUCAACUUUAACAAGGUGAGUCAUCCUCUAACACUAUUCUUCUACUCACUGUUCUAAUUUUACCAUUUUGCCUAAAAGCAAGUUCUCAAUUGUGCUGUAUAAUAACCUAAUGCAACUAAUGUGUCCAGUGUGUAUGUUACAAAUAUUUUCAAUUACGAAACAAAAUAGUUGAAGUAUUUAAGUAUAAAGGCAAUCUCAAAUACCUAAAUGUUAAAUAUUAAUCUCAUGGCAUGUUUGUCAUACGAGGAGAGUCUAAGCAGAUUGAAAUGGGAUACACUGUAGUUUAGAAGACUGAGAGAUGAUCUAAUUGAAACAUGAAAGACUUCAGCCAUUUAGGACAGGUGAGAAGACAUUUAUUUACAUGGAGGGCAGUGAAUGUCGGAAUUCACUUACGCAAGCAGCCUGUGUAAUCCAAAACAAAGAUCAUUAGAUUUCUAGAUUUUAAAGGACUCGAGAUACGUUUAUAGAAUCAGUGCAGGAAAGUGAUGCUGAGGUAAUGGUCAGCCAUGAUCUUAUUAUAUGCUAAUGUAGGCACAAGAGAUAGAAUAAUCUAAUAUUCAUUUCAUUAGGAAUACUUCUUUCAGCUCUCAGCUUCAUUAGCAUUUUGGAUUUUCUACAAAAGUCUUUUGUUCCUUACCUGGUUAACCUGUUGGCUUUUAUAUUUUGAAGUGCUUUCCUUUUACUUUUCACCAAAUUCUGCUAUGAGCAAUUAUAUAAUUUUUUCCACUCCCUUGAACAAUGUGGCCCAACAAAUACUUAAAAAACAUAAAUUUGCAUUUUGAUAGUAACUAAGAUGAUGAAUUAGUUUUCUGCAGUCUUUUUUAUAUCUUUCAAUUGUGCGUGUAACGGUGGGAUCUUUGCCUAUACAGUCCUAUCCUGACCCACAAGUUCUAUUGCAGGUGGGACAUGUAUAUGUGGUAGUGGUUGUAGUGAUGGCAACCAUGUCUGCAUUUCUCCUGGCUCUAUUCUACUGUCUUCUGAUUGUUCUUUCCACCUCCAGAAUAUGAACCCCGUCCCUACAUAGCUGUUGCCAAGUGUUACGGUCAGCAGCAACAUCCUCCAGGUCAUCAGGUCUGAUCUUGCACUUCCUUAAAGCAUUCUUCAUCUGAUCCUUAUAGCGCUCCUUUGGCCCUCCAGCUGAACGUCAGCCAUGAUGCAGCUGGCCGUAUAACACUCUGAGGGGUAGCCGACAUGGGGGCAUCCUUAUCAUGUGCCCCAGCCGCUGCAGCUGACGCUGGGUGGUCAUGGCCUCAAUACUUCUGCAGUUGGUCUUUACAAGUAUUUCAGUGUGAGGCACCCGCUCACGCCAGGUAAUUCCCAAGAUGCGCUGAAGGCAGCUUAUGUGGAAGCGCUCCAAGGACUUGAUGUGAUGGCUGUAGGUUGCCCAAGUGUAAAGGGGAUUUCUUCUUUUUCUUUGUUACUGUGUAUGUAAUCAAAAUGGCUUCUUUGUUUUGUUAAAAGUAGGAAUGCUUCUUUGUUGCGAGAGAGUGCUGGAAGCUUGUUUGGAUUAAAAUUUACAGAUGACGAGAAUUGUAUUCCUUUGUAAACCAUUUGGGAUUAAUGUUGUUCUUUCUUCUGAGUCUGUAAGCUUUUGUUGACGGGCUUUUGGGGAGAUCGGCGCGAGGGGUUGAGAGAGAGGACGCGAUGCUGUAAACUGGCUGAAGAACGGACCCCAAGCGGGGUCCGAAGCCAGGAGGUACUCCGAGGAGAGGAGAUGAAGCUAGAUGUGCUUGGUUGACCACUUCGGAUGGUCCUAAGCUGUGAGUCGAGGAGUUCGGAGGGGAUCGAAUGGUGGCCAGAAGACUUCAGUAAUUGAGCUCCAACGGUUGUGCACGAAGUGGUUUGGACUUUGAUAAGUUUGACGCCUUUUCUUUAUUUUCUUUUCCUUCAUAUAUACUGUAUCAUUAUUAAUCACUUAGUUAUAGUAACCUUUAUAAAUUGUACUCAUUUAAUCGCA